RNAcentral lists this ribosomal RNA (253 nucleotides) under uncultured bacterium. RNAcentral's name for it is "partial 16S ribosomal RNA". It matches the Rfam family "Bacterial small subunit ribosomal RNA", at positions 524 to 776 of the family's 1533-position model. The record is from RNAcentral.
UACGUAUGGUGCAAGCGUUAUCCGGAUUUACUGGGUGUAAAGGGAGCGUAGGCGGCGCGUUAAGUCUGAUGUGAAAACCCGAGGCUCAACCACGGGAGUGCAUUGGAAACUGGCGUGCUGGAGUGCCGGAGAGGUAAGCGGAAUUCCUAGUGUAGCGGUGAAAUGCGUAGAUAUUAGGAGGAACACCAGUGGCGAAGGCGGCUUACUGGACGGCAACUGACGCUGAGGCUCGAAAGCGUGGGGAGCAAACAGG